GGUCAGUGAUGUGAUGUAAAAGGGCUGAUGUCCAGGUCUCCUUCCAGUCCCCUCGUCCCUCCCAGCCAGCUCUACUAAUUUUCCCAGCAUGCUCUAGUUGUGCAGCCCUGGUGUGAUGUGGCGGCUGAUAUAAUGGAUGUUUCUGCUGAAUAAGAGUCUCUUUUAGAGAAUCAAGUGAGACUCUAACAGAAACGUCUGACAGAAACACAAACACAGGAGGGCCAGACUGAAGGAGCCUGGUCAGCUGAUCUCAAAAAUCAUACUGAGACC
Molecule: non-coding RNA, 270 nt
Organism: Cyprinus carpio (common carp)
Lineage: Eukaryota; Metazoa; Chordata; Actinopteri; Cypriniformes; Cyprinidae
Source: Ensembl